This 215-nucleotide long non-coding RNA is filed under the name Panax ginseng (ginseng). RNAcentral's name for it is "long non-coding RNA (PGIN_LNC003704)". Lineage: Eukaryota; Viridiplantae; Streptophyta; Magnoliopsida; Apiales; Araliaceae. The record is from RNAcentral.
GUCGAGCGGGGGUAACAGGGGAAUAGAACGGUGGUUUCUAGCUGUGGAGUUCUCCCUAAACAGUAUAGACAAGUGUGUUGUAUACAUCUUUUAGUAGUUAUAUUUGGUGAAUCAUAUAGGGAGAGGCGAACCCAACGUUGGAAGGGUGUUUUGCCACUUUCAUACAAGAUGUCUAAUGACAUACAACCUCGUGUCAUCAUAAGACAGGGUUGUGC